This is an unclassified non-coding RNA of Aotus nancymaae (Ma's night monkey), 275 nucleotides long. It matches the Rfam family "Metazoan signal recognition particle RNA". Rfam says of the family: The signal recognition particle (SRP) is a universally conserved ribonucleoprotein. Lineage: Eukaryota; Metazoa; Chordata; Mammalia; Primates; Aotidae. The record is from Ensembl.
GCUGGGCACAGUGACUCAUGCCUGUAAUCUCAGUGCUUUGGGAGGCCGAGGCGGGAAGACUGCUGAGCCCAGGAGACGUGGGCUGUAGUGCACUAAGAUUGGCAUCAAUAUGGUGACCUCUUGGGGGAGGCAACCACUAGGUUGCCUAGGGAGGAACGAACUGGCCCAGGUCGUUAACAGAGCAUGUCAAAACUCCCACAAUGAUCAGUAGUGGGAUCCUUCCAGUGAACAGCCAGUGAGCUCCAGCCUGGGCAACAUAGUGAGACCCUGUCUCU